RNAcentral lists this transfer RNA (67 nucleotides) under Gelasimus borealis. Its description in RNAcentral is "tRNA-Pro". It matches the Rfam family "tRNA". From Rfam's summary of the family: Transfer RNA (tRNA) molecules are approximately 80 nucleotides in length. Their secondary structure includes four short double-helical elements and three loops (D, anti-codon, and T loops). Further hydrogen bonds mediate the characteristic L-shaped molecular structure. tRNAs have two regions of fundamental functional importance: the anti-codon, which is responsible for specific mRNA codon recognition, and the 3' end, to which the tRNAs corresponding amino acid is attached (by aminoacyl-tRNA synthetases). tRNAs cope with the degeneracy of the genetic code in two manners: having more than one tRNA (with a specific anti-codon) for a particular amino acid; and 'wobble' base-pairing, i.e. permitting non-standard base-pairing at the 3rd anti-codon position. The record is from RNAcentral. Lineage: Eukaryota; Metazoa; Arthropoda; Malacostraca; Decapoda; Ocypodidae.
CAGAGAAUAGUUUAAGAUUAAAAUAUUAAUUUUGGGAAUUAAAGACAAAGAGUUUCUUUUUCUCUGA